UAUGGAAGCAAAUGUGCAUGAUCUGUGACGUCCCUUCAUCCAUGACUGUCUCCUCCUCCUCCUCCUCCUCCUCCUCCUCCUCCUCCUCUGUGGUGGGGCGGUUCCAGGGGCGACUCAGGUUAAGCUGGUUGGUUAGGUUUUGUCUGCAUAGAGGUAGUGCCCCUUGUCUGGCAGAGCGGAAGUUAGGUUAGGUUAGGUUAGGUUGCGUUAAGUUAGGUUAGGUUAGGUUAGGUUACGUUAAGUUAGGUUAGGUUAAGUUAGGUAGAGAGAGAGAGAGAGAGAGAGAGAGAGAGAGAGAGAGAGAGAGAGAGAGAGAGAGAGAGAGAGAGAGAGAGAGAGAGAGAGAGAGAGAGAGAGAGAGAGAGAGAGAGAGAGAGAGAGAGAGAGAGAGAGAGAGAGAGAUAGAAA
Scylla paramamosain (green mud crab) is the source of this 408-nucleotide long non-coding RNA. RefSeq lists it as uncharacterized. The record is from RefSeq and is a predicted model, not a curated record. NCBI's taxonomy places the organism in Eukaryota, Metazoa, Arthropoda, Malacostraca, Decapoda, Portunidae. The transcript is spliced from 2 exons.